UACGGGGGGAGCAAGCGUUGUUCGGAUUUACUGGGCGUAAAGGGCGCGUAGGCGGCCACCGCAAGUCGACUGUGAAAUCUCCGGGCUUAACCCGGAAAGGUCAGCCGAUACUGCGGGGCUAGAGUGCAGAAGGGGCAACUGGAAUUCUCGGUGUAGCGGUGAAAUGCGUAGAUAUCGGAAGGAACAUCAGUGGCGAAGGCGGCUACCUGGACAGAUACUGACGCUGAGGCGCGAGAGCGUGGGGAGCAAACAGG
RNAcentral lists this ribosomal RNA (254 nucleotides) under uncultured bacterium. RNAcentral describes it as "partial 16S ribosomal RNA". It matches the Rfam family "Bacterial small subunit ribosomal RNA", at positions 524 to 776 of the family's 1533-position model. The record is from RNAcentral.